Molecule: ribosomal RNA, 433 nt
Filed under: uncultured bacterium
Lineage: Bacteria
Description: partial 16S ribosomal RNA
Rfam family: Bacterial small subunit ribosomal RNA
Source: RNAcentral
AACGAACGCUGGCGGCAGGCCUAACACAUGCAAGUCGAGCGAGCAUUUCGGUGCUAGCGGCGGACGGGUGAGUAACGCGUGGGAACGUGCCCUUUUCUGCGGAAUAGUCCUGGGAAACUGGGGUUAAUACCGCAUACGCCCUUUUGGGGAAAGAUUUAUCGGAGAAGGAUCGGCCCGCGUUGGAUUAGGUAGUUGGUGGGGUAAUGGCCCACCAAGCCGACGAUCCAUAGCUGGUUUGAGAGGAUGAUCAGCCACACUGGGACUGAGACACGGCCCAGACUCCUACGGGAGGCAGCAGUGGGGAAUCUUAGACAAUGGGGGCAACCCUGAUCUAGCCAUGCCGCGUGAGUGAUGAAGGCCUUAGGGUUGUAAAGCUCUUUCAGCUGGGAAGAUAAUGACGGUACCAGCAGAAGAAGCCCCGGCUAACUCCGUG